Molecule: long non-coding RNA, 212 nt
Filed under: Daucus carota (carrot)
Lineage: Eukaryota; Viridiplantae; Streptophyta; Magnoliopsida; Apiales; Apiaceae
Description: long non-coding RNA (DCAR_LNC002598)
Source: RNAcentral
UUGAUACUCCCUCUGUUUUUUUUUAUAUGACACUUUUGACUUGUGCACGUAUCUUUGGGUGGAUUGACCGGGUAGUAAAACUUAUUAUUUUUAACUGGUUUUUUUUGUAAAUUAAAAUUUUGAUUACAUAUUUUUAUUCAGAAAAAGAAAAUUUCAAAAAUAAUACUUUUAACUACCCGGUCAAAGCACUUAAAAAUGUGUGCCAAAAAGUC